RNAcentral lists this long non-coding RNA (1175 nucleotides) under Pogona vitticeps (central bearded dragon). RNAcentral describes it as "lncRNA (ENSPVIG00000001287.1)". The record is from RNAcentral. Lineage: Eukaryota; Metazoa; Chordata; Lepidosauria; Squamata; Agamidae.
UGAAACAGAGAACUUAGAAAGGAAAAUUUGAAAGCCAGAGUCGUGUGACCCAGUAUGGGACAGAUUCCUGCUGAGAUUUCUUAUGGCAAUUAACAGCCAAAAGUUACACCUUUUGUGUAAUUGUGCGACAGGAUUUCAGCUAAUAUGUGAGAAAGCUUCUAAGAAGAUGGCGAUGUUACACGGUUUGCAUGGUAUAAGUUAUGCCAGCUGGAUUCCAGGCAAUGUAGAGGGGACACACAGAGAGAGAUAGAGAAGGAAGUGGUCUUAUGCUGUUGGAAAUUAUUGAAGCUUCUUAUGGAAGAGAAAGUUAAGGCAAGCAAGAAGAACAUCUUGCACCUGGUCUUAUUUUCGUAAACCAUUUCCAAGAGAUGGCCUCUUUCCUCAAAUGGAUUAUGGGAUAUUUUGUGAACGGCAGCUUGCUGGGCUGUCAGAGAUGACUCUCGAGUACAGCUGCUCCCCAGCUGCCCAGCACCACGGCUCAAUACAGCCUCUGUUAAGAUGUCAAAAAUGUUGACCAUAUAUUUUUACCUCAACUUUUAGAUGGCAUGGAAAAAAGACACUGAAAUUAAAAUUAGAAGGCUGCUUUGAUACUAGAUAGUUGUUUCUGCCCACUGCAGGAAAGUGGUUCUUGAUUUGUAGGGUUGCUUUGCAAUCAGUGGGGGUGCGGUGGGGGACAACCUGGAUGUGAAACCAUCAAAAGCCAGAGCUUCAAGAGGAGGGUUUGCAGAAGUUGUUCAAAGUUGGGGAUAAGGGAAGAAAAAGAGAAUAACAGAAAGAAGUGAACCUCAGUAUCUGAAGUUACAUCAAGAUUUGGUUCUCGUUCCUCAGCAUUAGACACAAACUCUGGGUUCCCUAAUCAUGAUUUUGCCACUAAAUACAAGAUUUGCAGUCACUGAAACCAUCUCCUUUGCUCAAUUCAAAUCUGACAGCAUGAUUUAGACAUUUAGUGUUUUAAUUCUGACUCUCUAUAGUUGCUCUUGUGCUUUCAUCUGUCUUGGCUGGCUUUUCCAUGUCACGGUCCUUCUGUAAGUUCUAUAAAAGGAGGGAAGUAAUACCAGGCAUCUAUGGCUGCAGAGUUUAGAAUCUCAGCUAAGACUCCCUUCUGCUAUGCCAUAGAAGUAUUUACUGAGUUCACUGUGGGCCCUUCUUAAAGCCUCUCGUUCAUGGGCACAGAG